RNAcentral lists this ribosomal RNA (808 nucleotides) under Placolecis kunmingensis. RNAcentral describes it as "partial large subunit ribosomal RNA". It matches the Rfam family "Eukaryotic large subunit ribosomal RNA", at positions 95 to 936 of the family's 3401-position model. The record is from RNAcentral. Lineage: Eukaryota; Fungi; Ascomycota; Lecanoromycetes; Lecanorales; Catillariaceae.
GAAGCGGCAACAGCUCAAAUUUGAAAUCUGGCCCCCGGAGCCCGAGUUGUAAUUUGUAGAGGGUGCUUCGGGGGCGGCACCGGCCCAAGUUCCUUGGAACAGAACGUCACAGAGGGUGAGAAUCCCGAUGGGACCGGCCGUCGAUCCCGUGUGAGGCUCCUUCGACGAGUCGAGUUGUUUGGGAAUGCAGCUCUAAAUGGGAGGUAAAUUUCAUCUAAAGCUAAAUAUUGGCCAGAGACCGAUAGCGCACAAGUAGAGUGAUCGAAAGAUGAAAAGCACUUUGAAAAGAGAGUUAAAAAGUACGUGAAAUUGUUGAAAGGGAAGCGCUUGCACCAGACUUGCCUGCCAUGGAUCCUCGGGUCUUUCGCUUGGGGCACCCUUCUGUGGGCAGGCCAGCAUCGGUUUUGGCGGUUGUAUAAAGGUCUCGGGAAUGUACCCCCCUUCCGGGGGAGCUUUAAAGCCCGGGGCGCCAUGCACCCAGCCUGGACCGAGGUCCGCGCUUCGGCUAGGAUGCUGGCGUAAUGGCUGUAAGCGGCCCGUCUUGAAACACGGACCAAGGAGUCUAACAUCUAUGCGAGUGUUUGGGUGUCAAACCCAUGCGCGUAAUGAAAGUGAACGGAGGUGGGAACCCUGCACCAUCGACCGAUCCUUCUUCGGAUGGAUUUGAGUAAGAGCAUAGCUGUUGGGACCCGAAAGAUGGUGAACUAUGCCUGAAUAGGGUGAAGCCAGAGGAAACUCUGGUGGAGGCUCGCAGCGGUUCUGACGUGCAAAUCGAUCGUCAAAUUGGGUAUAGGGGCGAAAGCUAAUC